This 304-nucleotide long non-coding RNA is filed under the name Aotus nancymaae (Ma's night monkey). RNAcentral describes it as "lncRNA (ENSANAG00000039446.1)". The record is from RNAcentral. Lineage: Eukaryota; Metazoa; Chordata; Mammalia; Primates; Aotidae.
CUGAGAAGUAAAUAGUUGUAGGUGGAUUGGGGAAGAAUACCAGAAUUCGAAGUUUCACCACACUGGAGAUGAUUAUAACACUUUUUCCUUCAGGUCUCCCACUGCUUGUUCAAAAACCUGGUUGCAGUUGCAGAUGUCCAUGUCAGAGAGAACUAAAGCCUGGCUGGAGGACUGAAAAGAUUCUCCAGGUUAAUUCUUCUUCUGAGCCUGAACAUGACAGAGGGUCCAGCUGCAUCAGAUGAUCAUCCCUGUGAUGACUGAUGAGAGCUAAAAUGGAACUUUACAAGUUUAUCCAAAUACUGAC